RNAcentral lists this long non-coding RNA (518 nucleotides) under Selaginella moellendorffii. Its description in RNAcentral is "long non-coding RNA (SMOE_LNC000482)". The record is from RNAcentral. Lineage: Eukaryota; Viridiplantae; Streptophyta; Lycopodiopsida; Selaginellales; Selaginellaceae.
AAGAAAAGAUAUCCGGCCACCAAUGUCGCGACGACGGCGUGCGUGAAAGAGAUUGCCCUGCAUUAUGGUCAAACCGCGAUUUCUCCAUCUUCUUCACAGGUGAACUGAUUCACAUCCAUAGCUUUUUUUCUUUUCUAUGCGUUCUCUGACCACGUUUUUGACAUGUAGUGACGCGACUCACAUAAACCCGCCUACAAAACUUUAAAUACGACGAGCAGACCGAAUUGACUUGGAAUACCUGUUGUUCCACUCGACCCUGUCCUUGUCCGAGAGCUUGGUGUACGCAUUUGGGAAGAGAACCGGGCCGUAAGCCUUCAUCGACUCGAAUGCCUGCUCGACAAGUCGAUCGAUCCAUGGUAAAUUCCUUCGUUUUUUUAAUGGUUUUUUCGUUUGACUUACUAGCGUGGACAUGAGAAUUCCAGUGAGAAUCGACGUGGCCCAGAGCAAUGGCUUCUUGUAGCCAAAAUCUCCCAUCACAUCCUCCAGUUGGGUCUGGAAAAGCACUGCCUUCUCCAUCG